CAUCGAUUCCGAACAAAGGGGGACAACAGAAGAGCACCGAUAGUUGCAAGAUUCCUAUAUCACCGUGAUCUUGAAUAUGUUUUAGCAAAUAUAUACCAGACUAAAAGGUAGACCAUACGGAAUACGGGAGCAAUUUCCUCAUGAAAUUGAACAAAAGCGGAAGGAACUGUAUCCGGUGUUAAAACAGGCCAAACAGCAAAAUAGACAAGCCUCUCUUGUGCGUGAUAGGCUAUACAUAGACAACCAGCUCUACAUUCCUAACACGGUACUAGAGGACACUAGAACGGAGCAUACUGGCUCUUCAUCAACAAACCAUGACACGAGCCCAAAAGGGUCUUAUUCUAGUGAUACCCCUCCUAGCAAAAGACAGCGACAGGGACCGUCUCCUGGCCCACCGCAC
RNAcentral lists this long non-coding RNA (400 nucleotides) under Mytilus galloprovincialis (Mediterranean mussel). The record is from RNAcentral. Lineage: Eukaryota; Metazoa; Mollusca; Bivalvia; Mytilida; Mytilidae.